CAUAGGUUUGGUCCUGGCCUUUCUAUUAGUUAUUAAUAAAAUUACACAUGCAAGAAUCCUCGCCCCAGUGAAAAUGCCCUCUAAACCACCCAUGGUGCAAAGGAGCUGGUAUCAAGCACACUAAAAGUAGCUCAAGACACCUUGCUCAGCCACACCCCCACGGGAUACAGCAGUGAUAAAAAUUUAGCAAUAAAUGAAAGUCUGACUAAGUUAUAUUACAGAGGACUGGUAAAUCUCGUGCCAGCCACCGCGGUCAUACGAUUAGACCAAACUAAUAGAGAUACGGCGUAAAGAGUGUAAUAGAACUAAAAAUUAAUAAAGUCAAAUCUUAACUGAGCCGUAAAAAGCCCUCGUUACUGUAAGAUAUACCACGAAAGUGACUUUAAAAAAUCUGAUUACACGAUAGCUAAAACCCAAACUGGGAUUAGAUACCCCACUAUGCUUAGCCCUAAACACAGAGAAUUCAAAACAAAUCCAUUCGCCAGAGCACUACCAGCCAAAGCUAGAAACUCAAAGGACUUGGCGGUGUCUUGUAUCCCUCUAGAGGAGCCUGUUCCAUAAUCGAUAAACCCCGAUAUACCUUACCAACUCUUGCUAAAUCAGCCUAUAUACCGCCAUCUUCAGCAAACCCUAAAAAGGAAGUGCAGUAAGCAAAACUAUUAACAUAAAAACGUUAGGUCAAGGUGUAGCCCAUGAGUAGGAGAGAAAUGGGCUACAUUCCCCAUGCCCGGGGCAUUACUUACGAAAACCCAUGUGAAAUCAUGAGCUAAAGGUGGAUCUAGCAGUAAAUUAGGAAUAGAGUGCCUAAUUGAAUAAGGCCACAAGACACGCACACACCGCCCGUCACCCUCCUCAAAUAAACAUGUAUAUCAAUCAAUUUAUAAAUCUAAAAUACAAUUACGUGAGAGGAGACAAGUCGUAACAAGGUAAGUGUACUGGAAAGUGCACUUGGAUAAU
RNAcentral lists this non-coding RNA (957 nucleotides) under Otonycteris hemprichii (Hemprich's desert bat). RNAcentral's name for it is "12S ribosomal RNA". It matches the Rfam family "Bacterial small subunit ribosomal RNA". The record is from RNAcentral. Lineage: Eukaryota; Metazoa; Chordata; Mammalia; Chiroptera; Vespertilionidae.